AUGAUACUACUCUAUACAAAUAUUAUUUUUUUGCCAUGCUUAAAUAUUGCUAUGAAAACUAUGCUUCUAAUGCUUAUAUAUAUUAAAGAAUAUAUUGAGGACGCCUCUGCUGUUGAAGAAGAGACUAAUAUUUUGCAGGAGUCUAUGGAAGAAGAAAUAGAUGAAACUGUGAGCUCAUUACAUGAAAAAGAUGAGGAGGAAAGUGAAGAACAAUUGGAGCAAGAGCGGAUUAGCUACAUGUACCCACCUUCUAAUGAGUGUAACUCUGCAAAUCAUACAUUGUUUAAUUUUCCUUUGUCCUUACCAAAGGAUGAGUGUUGUGAUGAUUGCUAUGAUCCCUUGGAUUCGUUUGAAAUAUAUGUUUUUGAUGAAAUUGAUGCUUGCUAUGCUUGUGGCCAUGAAGCCAAUACAAAUGAUGUUUAUGGUGAUGAACUUACUAUAGUUCCUUAUGUUAAGAAUGAAAUUGUUAUUAUUGCACCCACACAUGAUAGUCCUAUUAUCUUUUUGAAUUCUCCCAACUACACUAUAUCAGAGAAGUUUGCGCUUAUUAAGGAUUAUAUUGAUGGGUUGCGUUUUACUACUACACAUGAUGAUUUGGAUGAAUAUAAUAUGCAUGUGCUUGCUGCUCCUACUUGCAAUUAUUAUGAGAGAGGAACUACAUCUCCACCUCUCUAUGUUUCCAAUACGAUAAAAUUGCAACAGUUUGUUUAUACUAUGUAUCGACCUUUAUUAUGUGUGCAUGAAUUGUUCUUUUAUGACAUGCCGAUGCAUAGGAAGAGAGUUAACUUCAUCGUUGCAUGA
RNAcentral lists this ribosomal RNA (801 nucleotides) under Triticum aestivum (bread wheat). RNAcentral describes it as "partial small subunit ribosomal RNA". Lineage: Eukaryota; Viridiplantae; Streptophyta; Magnoliopsida; Poales; Poaceae. The record is from RNAcentral.